This 447-nucleotide ribosomal RNA is filed under the name uncultured bacterium. Its description in RNAcentral is "partial 16S ribosomal RNA". It matches the Rfam family "Bacterial small subunit ribosomal RNA", at positions 329 to 793 of the family's 1533-position model. The record is from RNAcentral.
UUCCAGACUCCUACGGGAGGCAGCAGUGGGGAAUAUUGCACAAUGGGGGAAACCCUGAUGCAGCGACGCCGCGUGAGCGAUGAAGUAUUUCGGUAUGUAAAGCUCUAUCAGCAGGGAAGAAAAUGACGGUACCUGACUAAGAAGCCCCGGCUAACUACGUGCCAGCAGCCGCGGUAAUACGUAGGGGGCAAGCGUUAUCCGGAUUUACUGGGUGUAAAGGGAGCGUAGGCGGCAGUGCAAGUCAGAAGUGAAAGCCCGGGGCUCAACUCCGGGACUGCUUUUGAAACUGUACAGCUUGAUUGCAGGAGAGGCAAGUGGAAUUCCUAGUGUAGCGGUGAAAUGCGUAGAUAUUAGGAGGAACACCAGUGGCGAAGGCGACUAUCUGGCACAUAACUGACGCUGAGGAGCGAAAGCGUGGGUAGCAAACAGGAUUAGAUACCCCCGUAC